Molecule: long non-coding RNA, 217 nt
Filed under: Elaeis guineensis (African oil palm)
Lineage: Eukaryota; Viridiplantae; Streptophyta; Magnoliopsida; Arecales; Arecaceae
Description: long non-coding RNA (EGUI_LNC077616)
Source: RNAcentral
CAUCAAUCGGAUUCUCCGACCGAUCUUCCCGAGAAGGAGAAGCCCUAGCUGUGAGAAUUACUCUAAAGAAGACAGAAGACUUUAGAAGAAAGAAGAAAGGACUCGAAAGAAAGGCAAAGUUGACCUAAAAGCUAGAAGCGAUAACCUUGGACGUUGGAGCAACAACCCAGCAGAGUCCCAGCACCACCAAAGACAGUGAGAAGUAAAAAUUUUGCUG